Molecule: transfer RNA, 69 nt
Filed under: Gempylus serpens (snake mackerel)
Lineage: Eukaryota; Metazoa; Chordata; Actinopteri; Scombriformes; Gempylidae
Description: tRNA-Arg
Rfam family: tRNA
About the family: Transfer RNA (tRNA) molecules are approximately 80 nucleotides in length.
Source: RNAcentral
AGGUGGCUAGUCUAAGAAAAACACUUGAUUUCGGCUCAAGAAUUUGUGGUUAGAGUCCAUAGCUGCCUA